Molecule: non-coding RNA, 138 nt
Organism: Ornithorhynchus anatinus (platypus)
Lineage: Eukaryota; Metazoa; Chordata; Mammalia; Monotremata; Ornithorhynchidae
Source: Rfam
CCCCUCUCAGGGUCGCACCUGGAGAGUUUCCAGUCCUUUACCAAUCAUGACUACGGGAGGGAGAGUCAAGCAGAGGAAUACCCAUUCCAUUCCUAGCUUGGGCAGGGGCUAGCGAGUGGAAGGCAAUCUACUACAAGU